CGCCUGGGGAGUGCGGCCGCAAGGUUAAAACUCAAAUGAAUUGACGGGGGCCCGCACAAGCGGUGGAGCAUGUGGUUUAAUUCGACGCAACGCGAAGAACCUUACCUGGCCUUGACAUCCAGAGAACUUUCCAGAGAUGGAUUGGUGCCUUCGGGAACUCUGAGACAGGUGCUGCAUGGCCGUCGUCAGCUCGUGUCGUGAGAUGUUGGGUUAAGUCCCGUAACGAGCGCAACCCCUAUCCCUGGUUGCUAGCAGGUAAUGCUGAGAACUCCAGGGAGACUGCCGGUGACAAACUGGAGGAAGGUGGGGAUGACGUCAGGUCAUCAUGGCCCUUACGGCCAGGGCUACACACGUGCUACAAUGGCGCGUACAGAGGGCUGCCAACUCGCGAGAGUGAGCCAAUCCCUUAAAACGCGUCGUAGUCCGGAUCGGAGUCUGCAACUCGACUCCGUGAAGUCGGAAUCGCUAGUAAUCGCGAAUCAGAAUGUCGCGGUGAAUACGUUCCCGGGCCUUGUACACACCGCCCGUCACACCAUGGGAGUGGAUUGCACCAGAAGUAGUUAGUCUAACCUUCGGGAGGACGAUUACCACGGUGUGGUUCAUGACUGGGGUGAAGUCGUAACAAGGUAACCGUA
RNAcentral lists this ribosomal RNA (635 nucleotides) under uncultured Marinobacter sp. RNAcentral's name for it is "bacterial SSU rRNA". It matches the Rfam family "Bacterial small subunit ribosomal RNA", at positions 870 to 1504 of the family's 1533-position model. The record is from RNAcentral. Lineage: Bacteria; Pseudomonadati; Pseudomonadota; Gammaproteobacteria; Pseudomonadales; Marinobacteraceae.